RNAcentral lists this ribosomal RNA (324 nucleotides) under uncultured eukaryote. RNAcentral describes it as "partial 18S ribosomal RNA". It matches the Rfam family "Eukaryotic small subunit ribosomal RNA", at positions 1470 to 1796 of the family's 1831-position model. The record is from RNAcentral.
CCCUUAGAUGUCCUGGGCUGCACGCGCGCUACACUGAUGUGUCCAGUAAGCACCUAACCUCUUCCGAAAGGAACGGGUAACCUUUGCAAAGCACAUCGUGAUGGGGAUAGAUUAUUGCAAUUAUUAGUCUUGAACGAGGAAUUCCUAGUAAGCACAAGUCAUCAGCUUGUGUUGAUUACGUCCCUGUCCUUUGUACACACCGCCCGUCGCUCCUACCGAUUGAAUGUUCCGGUGAGCUCUUCGGACUGCGCGGUCUGCAGUUUCUGCGUUCCGUGCGGAAAGUUGCGCAAACCUUAACAUUUAGAGGAAGGAGAAGUCGUAACA